CCUACGGGUGGCAGCAGUGGGGAAUAUUGCACAAUGGGGGAAACCCUGAUGCAGCGACGCCGCGUGAGUGAAGAAGUAUUUCGGUACGUAAAGCUCUAUCAGCAGGGAAGAAAAUGACGGUACCUGACUAAGAAGCCCCGGCUAACUACGUGCCAGCAGCCGCGGUAAUACGUAGGAUGCGAGCGUUAUCCGGAUUUAUUGGGUUUAAGGGGUGCGCAGGCGGCCUGUUAAGUCAGCGGUAAAAGCCCGGGGCUCAACCCCGGCGAGCCGUGGAAACUGGCGGGCUGGAGUUGGAGAGAAGUACGCGGAAUGCGCGGUGGAGCGGGGAAAUGCUUAGAUAGCGCGCAGAACCCCGAUUGCGAAGGCAGCGUACCGGCUCCACACUGACGCUGAGGCACGAAAGCGUGGGUAUCGAACAGGAUUAGAUACCCCUGUAGUC
This 439-nucleotide ribosomal RNA is filed under the name uncultured bacterium. Its description in RNAcentral is "partial 16S ribosomal RNA". It matches the Rfam family "Bacterial small subunit ribosomal RNA", at positions 338 to 795 of the family's 1533-position model. The record is from RNAcentral.